RNAcentral lists this ribosomal RNA (272 nucleotides) under uncultured Glomus. Its description in RNAcentral is "partial 18S ribosomal RNA". It matches the Rfam family "Eukaryotic small subunit ribosomal RNA", at positions 548 to 822 of the family's 1831-position model. The record is from RNAcentral. Lineage: Eukaryota; Fungi; Glomeromycota; Glomeromycetes; Glomerales; Glomeraceae.
UUGGAGGGCAAGUCUGGUGCCAGCAGCCGCGGUAAUUCCAGCUCCAAUAGCGUAUAUUAAAGUUGUUGCGAGUUAAAAAGCUCGUAGUUGAAUUUACGGGAUCAGACUGUCGGUCGUGCCUCGGUACGCACUGGCAUUAUUGGUUCCUACCUUCUGAAGAACCGCGAUGUCAUUAAUUUGGUGUCGCGGGGAAUCAGGACUGUUACUUUGAAAAAACUUAGAGUGUUUAAAAGCAGGCUUACGCUUGAAUACAUUAGCAUGGAAUAAUGAAA